UGGUUCUGGCAUCGAUGAAGAACGCAGCGAAAUGCGAUAAGUAAUGUGAAUUGCAGAAUUCAGCGAAUCAUCGAAUCUUUGAACGCACAUUGCGCCCGUUAGUAUUCUGACGGGCAUGCCUGUUCGAGCGUCAUUUCAACCCUCAGGCCCUGCCUGGCGAUGGGGACCCGUGCGCUGCGGGCCCUGAAAUGCAGUGGCAGGCUCUGCUACACUCCGAGCGCAGUAAUUCUCUCGCUUAGGGCGUCUAGUGGACUCUCGCCUCCUAUAUUAAUUUCAAGGUUGACCUCGGAUCAGGUAGGAAUACCCGCUGA
This 311-nucleotide unclassified non-coding RNA is filed under the name uncultured fungus. Its description in RNAcentral is "partial contains 5.8S ribosomal RNA and internal transcribed spacer 2". The stretch from base 1 to 133 matches the Rfam family "5.8S ribosomal RNA", at positions 22 to 154 of the family's 154-position model. Lineage: Eukaryota; Fungi. The record is from RNAcentral.